GAUGAACGCUGGCGGCGUGCCUAAUACAUGCAAGUCGAGCGAUGAAGAUUGGUGCUUGCACCAAUUUGAAGAGCAGCGAACGGGUGAGUAACGCGUGGGUAAUCUGCUUUUGAGCGGGGGACAACAACUGGAGACGAAUGAUAAUACCGCAUAACAACUUUAAACAUUAGUUUUAAGUGUGAAAGAUGCAAUUGCAUCACUCAAAGAUGAUCCCGCGGUCUAUUAGCUAGCUGGUGGGGUAAAGGCCCACCAGGGCGUUGGUACAUAGCCGACCUGAGAGGGCUGUUGACCCAAUCGGGACUUGGGCACGGCCCAAGCUCCUUCGGGGAGCCGCAAUAGGGGAACUUCGGCAAUUGGCGAAAGUCUGACCGCACCACGCCGCGUGGGUGAAGAAGGGUUUCGGAUCGUUAAACUCUGUUGGUAGGGAAAGACGUUCGGGAGGGUGGAAAGCUCAUGAUGUGACGGUACCUACCCAGUAAGCAACGGCUAACUUCGUG
This 497-nucleotide ribosomal RNA is filed under the name uncultured bacterium. RNAcentral's name for it is "partial 16S ribosomal RNA". It matches the Rfam family "Bacterial small subunit ribosomal RNA", at positions 28 to 507 of the family's 1533-position model. The record is from RNAcentral.